RNAcentral lists this long non-coding RNA (1721 nucleotides) under Citrus x clementina. Its description in RNAcentral is "Citrus clementina (C. clementina) long non-coding RNA (CCLE_LNC003956)". The record is from RNAcentral. Lineage: Eukaryota; Viridiplantae; Streptophyta; Magnoliopsida; Sapindales; Rutaceae.
GACCUACCUCCUUAUAAGCUCAAGUAUCUUUCAUUUACUAACCAAUGUGAAAUAUAACUCAGUAAUCCCCCCUCAAACAAAAAUACCGCCAGACUUUAGUUUUUUCAUCUGACAUACUUGAGUUGUUCCACCUCCAUAUUCUUAUUAUUAGGGUCUACCUCUGAUACUAUUUGUUGAGAAAAUUUAGCAUAAAAUUUUUAGAUAUCCAAAUCAAAAUAAUAAUCUUUUAGAUAAAGUGACGUACUUCUUUAAUACUUCUUUACAAAUCUAAAUAUCGUUCUUUUAUUAAUCAACGCAGGACAUAACUCAACAUUAUCGAUUGUCAUUAUACAUGGGUAAAAUUUAAAAAAAAAAAAAAGGGGGGGGGGGGGGGGGUGGGAAGAGAGACGAUUUGCGAUUUGGCAGACAAACUUUACAAAGCCACCAAUGGAAGGUCUAAACUUGUAGCCGAAUGAGUCCAAAAGCUUUACUAAUAUUAAUUCAUGUGCUGCUAGGCGCUAGCUGCGCGGAUGGUGGAGUGAAAAGAGAGAUGGAAAAGUAAAAGGCUAAAAGCACAACAGUCAAUUGUCGAAAACACUUUACAAAAUUUCCACGUCAACUCAUUAAAAGUCAAUCCACUAAUCAACCCAGCUGUUUCUUCUUGUCUCAUUGGGCAUCGUGUUUCCGCUGAACUAGCUCUAGCCCAAGACAGAAAAGCCUAGCUUAACAAAUUUGGGCCCAAAAGCUGGAAAUGUAAAUACAAACCAUCAAACAUUUCAAAGAGUUCUCUGGGUGAGGGAAAUUUCUCAAGGCCCUUGUUUCACAUGCAACUAAACUAACCAAUAGAGUCAUGACGUAUCUAUGUUUAUAUAGAUAAUUAUGAAUUUUAUUAGCUUGUUUGUACAUGUUUUCGAUGUACAUAAUAUUUUUGACGUUGAUUGUUAUCAUAUAACCACUCUUAUAAGUUCAGAGUGGUCAAUGUUGACCUCCAUUUCCUACUUUGCUAUCAACAGGAAGAAAUAAUAAGCAUGUCUUGUAGACUACAAUAUAAUUUAUUCAUCUAAAUUAUGGCCUCGUUUGAAUUGAGAUUAGGUGGCUAUAGUUUUUAAAUUACAAUAUUAAAAUAUUUGAUAAAAACUUGUUACUGUGACCAAGAAACUAAAACAAUUUGAAAUUACACUUGUAUGACAAAUUCUAUAAUAUCUUUAUUAUUUUUUUUAUCAAAAUUAUUAUUUAAAUACCAAAUUUCUUACACACAUUAUCAAUUUUUUUCAUAGUAUCUAUGACUUAAACUUUUUUAUCAAAAUUUUUCAUAGUAGCUGCAACAAUAGGGCCUAAGUAGCAAUAUAAUAUUUGUGACAAGUCGAUAGUGUUGCUAGCAUUGUAGGGCAUGUUUAAGGUGCCUGACUUGUGCUUCUUAAUCCAUAAUGUUAUAAAUUUAGAUUGACUCAUGAGAUGUCAAAUAAAAAAUGUAUAUUUUUUAGGUAUUUUUCUUUUAAUAACAAUGUAAAUUUCAAUUAUAACUGUUAUAAAUGUACUUUUUGGACCGGACAAUCUAGGGUUGGCAAAUUAAGGGCUGGACUUGGGCGGGGUCCAUUGUAAGUCUGGGCUGGGCUUGGGCUAAGCUUAGGCUUUUACUUUAAAAAAAAUUGUUGUAAACUUGAAAUGAGUUAAUAAUAAUUAAGUUGUUGUAAUAAAAAAUGAAUUAGAAAAAUAAUUAUUUCAAAAUAAAAUAAUAAAUA